AUUGAACGCUGGCGGCAGGCCUAACACAUGCAAGUCGAGCGGAUGAAGGGAGCUUGCUCCUGGAUUCAGCGGCGGACGGGUGAGUAAUGCCUAGGAAUCUGCCUGGUAGUGGGGGAUAACGUCCGGAAACGGGCGCUAAUACCGCAUACGUCCUGAGGGAGCAAGUGGGGGAUCUUCGGACCUCACGCUAUCAGAUGAGCCUAGGUCGGAUUAGCUAGUUGGUGGGGUAAAGGCCUACCAAGGCGACGAUCCGUAACUGGUCUGAGAGGAUGAUCAGUCACACUGUAAGUGAGACACGGCCCAGACUCCUACGGGAGGAAGCAGUGGGGAAUAUUGGACGAGGGGCGAAAGCGUGAUCCAGCAAUGCCGCGUGUGUGAAGAAGGUCUUCGGAUUGUAAAGCACUUUAAGUUGGGAGGAAGGGCAGUAAGUUAAUACCUUGCUGUUUUGACGUUACCAACAGAAUAAGCACCGGCUAACUUCGUG
Molecule: ribosomal RNA, 484 nt
Filed under: uncultured bacterium
Lineage: Bacteria
Description: partial 16S ribosomal RNA
Rfam family: Bacterial small subunit ribosomal RNA
Source: RNAcentral